Molecule: unclassified non-coding RNA, 212 nt
Filed under: Hevea brasiliensis (rubber tree)
Lineage: Eukaryota; Viridiplantae; Streptophyta; Magnoliopsida; Malpighiales; Euphorbiaceae
Source: RNAcentral
AGGCAAAGCCUAGGAGAUAACCAACAUAGCAUCACUGCCACCAUAGCCGAGAAACUAGUCAACCAGAGGAUAAUAACUUUACCUAGGAGAGCAGAAGGGUUAGCCAAGGCUGAGACCAGCAUAAAGAUACCCAUAAAAUUUAUCCUCAAAAUCAAAACCAGGUGGGCUGUUCUAAAAUCCAAGCAGCCAAGAGAUGCAACAGAACCAUGGAG